This 1354-nucleotide long non-coding RNA is filed under the name Zea mays. RNAcentral describes it as "long non-coding RNA (ZMAY_LNC000635)". Lineage: Eukaryota; Viridiplantae; Streptophyta; Magnoliopsida; Poales; Poaceae. The record is from RNAcentral.
AUUUACGCUCUUUAUUGUGUGGAGAUUGUUGUUAUUUUGUCUAUUUGAACCAAUGAUUCUAUGCACCUUUGUGUUUUGCAGGUUGUGGUGCUUAAAGCACCGGAAGGGCCAUGCAAAACGACGGUCAACCAGUUCGCUACCUGCGUGAAGUUUGAUAGAGAAUCAUCUGAACAAUGAAGACGACUCAGUUCAUGCAAAAGCACAUGUAAUAUUUUACAUUAUGAUGAAUCCUUGAAAUGUUUUUUUGGAUUGUUUGAACACAUUUGAAUUUGUAGAAAAUUCGAGAAGAAACAAUUAUUUUUAGAUGAAAUCUAUGAAUUUUUAUAUAGGUAAAAGAAAUAAACAUAAAUAGAUAGAAUGAUGGAAAAUCGAUAGCAUGCAAAUCAGCUAGUAGCACACCUCUGACUAUAGUCCAAGUUCAACGUUUUCCUUCUCAAGAGGUCUCGCUUGUUAUUAUGUUGAAAAUACGUGAACGUUAAAAUGUACAUAUAUGAGUGUUUUAUAUGUACUAUGAUUUAAUUCAAAACAUAAUAAGUAAACAACUGAAUAGCUUGUCCGUUUUAGUUCAAAAAAACAAACCGACAAACACUUGAUAAGGUAUUUAAACCACAAAACUAGUAUCUUCAAACUUUUGGAAGUUUUGUGAAAAAAAUCUUAUAGUAAAUUAGGACACUAGAAAACCAACUAAUUUUUGGAGCUCAUGGAAAAUAUCUCUAGAAGUUAUAAAAGUAGAUUUAGUAGUUCUAGAAAAAUGAAAAAGGAUAUAGAAAACUAGAGAAAGAAAAUCACGGAACAUACAUACUAAAACAAUUUAGGGUCUAUUUGUUUCGAAUUAUAAUCUGCACAGAUUAUAUAAUCCAACUUAUUUUGAACUAGGUGUUAGUUCAAAAUAAGUUGGUGUUAGAGUACCCGCCUAGGGUUUUAGGGUUAGCCCCUUGUAAUCACUGUCACACUCUUAUAUAAUGUGUCAGGCCUAAUAUAUAUAUAUAUAUAUAUAUAUAUAUAUAUAUAUAUAUAUAUAUAUAUAUAUAUAUAUAUAUAUAUAUAUAUGGCGAUGGUAAUGGAAGCCCUGGGCUUCCAUUAGUACCAGGAAGCUCCAUUAGUACCAGGAAGCUCCAGCCAGUUCGCUACCUGCGUGAAGUUUGAUAGAGAAUCAUCUGAACAAUGAAGACGACUCAGUUCAUGCAAAAGCACAUGUAAUAUUUUACAUUAUGAUGAAUCCUUGAAAUGUUUUUUUGGAUUGUUUGAACACAUUUGAAUUUGUAGAAAAUUCGAGAAGAAACAAUUAUUUUUAGAUGAAAUCUAUGAAUUUUUAUAUAGGUAAAAGAAAUAAACAUAAAUAGAUAGAAUGAUG